GGAGGAAUACCCAAGCGGUUGAAGGGGUCAGUUUCGAAAACUGAUAGUGGGGCCACGCUCCAGCUAGGGUUCGAAUCCCUAUUCCUCCGCCA
Molecule: transfer RNA, 92 nt
Filed under: Bacilli bacterium
Lineage: Bacteria; Bacillati; Bacillota; Bacilli
Description: tRNA-Ser
Rfam family: tRNA
About the family: Transfer RNA (tRNA) molecules are approximately 80 nucleotides in length.
Source: RNAcentral